This 752-nucleotide ribosomal RNA is filed under the name uncultured Glomus. Its description in RNAcentral is "SSU rRNA". It matches the Rfam family "Eukaryotic small subunit ribosomal RNA", at positions 338 to 1092 of the family's 1831-position model. Lineage: Eukaryota; Fungi; Glomeromycota; Glomeromycetes; Glomerales; Glomeraceae. The record is from RNAcentral.
GGCCUACCAUGGUGGUAACGGGUAACGGGGUGUUAGGGCACGACACCGGAGAGGGAGCCUGAGAAACGGCUACCACAUCCAAGGAUGGCAGCAGGCGCGCAAAUUACCCAAUCCCGACACGGGGAGGUAGUGACAAUAAAUAACAAUACGGGGUUCUUUUGGAUCUCGUAAUUGGAAUGAGUACAAUUUAAAUCUCUUAACGAGGAACAAUUGGAGGGCAAGUCUGGUGCCAGCAGCCGCGGUAAUUCCAGCUCCAAUAGCGUAUAUUAAAGUUGUUGCAGUUAAAAAGCUCGUAGUUGAAUUUCGAGACCGGCUUACUGGUCGUGCUAUUGUACGUACUGGUAUAAUCGGUUUCUCCUUUCUGACGAACUAUAAUGCCAUUAAUUUGGUGUUAUAGGGAAUCGGGACUGUUACUUUGAAAAAAUUAGAGUGUUUAAAGCAGGCUCACGCUUGAAUACAUUAGCAUGGAAUAACGGAAUAGGACGUUUGAUUCUAUUUUGUUGGUUUCUAGGAUCGACGUAAUGAUUAAUAGGGAUAGUUGGGGGCAUUAGUAUUCAAUUGUCAGAGGUGAAAUUCUUGGAUUUAUUGAAGACUAACUACUGCGAAAGCAUUUGCCAAGGAUGUUUUCAUUAAUCAAGAACGAAAGUUAGGGGAUCGAAGACGAUCAGAUACCGUCGUAGUCUUAACCAUAAACUAUGCCGACUAGGGAUCGGAUGAUGUUAAUUUUUUAAUGACUCAUUCGGCGCCUUACG